RNAcentral lists this ribosomal RNA (447 nucleotides) under uncultured bacterium. Its description in RNAcentral is "partial 16S ribosomal RNA". It matches the Rfam family "Bacterial small subunit ribosomal RNA", at positions 28 to 523 of the family's 1533-position model. The record is from RNAcentral.
GACGAACGCUGGCGGCAGGCUUAACACAUGCAAGUCGAACGCCCCGCAAGGGGAGUGGCAGACGGGUGAGUAACACGUGGGAACGUACCCUUUGGUUCGGAAUAACUUGGGGAAACUCAAGCUAAUACCGGAUAAGCCCUUAUGGGGAAAGGUUUACUGCCGAAGGAUCGGCCCGCGUCUGAUUAGCGAGUUGGUGAGGUAAUGGCUCACCAAGGCGACGAUCAGUGGCUGGUCUGAGAGGAUGAGCAGCCACACUGGGACUGAGACAGGGCCCAGACUCCUACGGGAGGCAGCAGUGGGGAAUAUUGGACAGUAGGGGCAACCCUGAUCCAGCCAUGCCGCGUGAGUGAUGAAGGCCUUAGGGUUGUAAAGCUCUUUUACCCGGGACGAUAAUGACUGUACCGGGAGAAUAAGCCCCGGCUAACUUCGUGCCAGCCGCCGCAGUAA